RNAcentral lists this long non-coding RNA (6824 nucleotides) under Malus domestica (apple). RNAcentral describes it as "long non-coding RNA (MDOM_LNC020516)". The record is from RNAcentral. Lineage: Eukaryota; Viridiplantae; Streptophyta; Magnoliopsida; Rosales; Rosaceae.
ACUCACCUGACUUACCUUUGCCUCCACAGCACCAUGCAAUAUGUAUGCAUCAUAUAUCAAUCAUAUAAUUCAUAAACCAAUCCAUGAUUUUCAAAUAAUUCUAUGCAUGGCAUGUUCAAAACAUAUUUUCAUAUAAAACAUUUUCUGGGAAAAACAGUAGUAUAUAGGUAAUACGAAAACAAAACUGCCCACUCACCUGGAGUUCGCUCAACAACUCCCUAGCACCACACAUCAAGGCGUCAUGAAGAUUAGCGCCUAGAACAAUAAUCAAACCCAACCUCAGAAAUCCUGCCGAUAGAAUACAUAACUUAUAUAAGACACGUCACUACGUAGUUCGAUCCGGAUGAUCUGCAAUUCAGAUUUCAAAAUCCGAAACUUCCAGAGGUCCACAAUAUACCUCUAGGACAACAUCCUAAAAUUUCGUUACCAUCCAACGGUCGGAUCUCCGUCAAUUUCCAAAACUAAGUGACGGUUAACAUUCUAUUUUAUGAACUUACAAUUCUAAUUCCGGAAUAUCCGUAAAUCGGAUUCCCAAUCCGUAAGUUCCUAUAAUCCUCAAAUAUUACGUAUUACAAUGUAUCAAAGUUUGAUGACGAUCCAACGGUCGGAUCGUCAAUUCACAUUUUCACCUAACCCCGAAUCGUAACCAACUUAGGUUCAAUUAUUCAAUUUACGUCCAUCAAUUAUCAAAACAGAACCUAGAACCUUAAUCACAAGCUAAUAAUGACAUUGGCGGCCAUUGGCCACACGCCGCCGCGCGGGCCGCCGCGGGUGGCGGUUGGCCGCCCCCGGCUCGCCGGAAAAUUCAACUAUUUCCAAAAAUUACCAAAAUUUGCAGAUUUGAAGAUCUCAAUGAGUAGAACAACUUUCAUACCUGAGACCAAGGCCAAUUUGGCCUGGAAGUGCUUCAAUUUCACCAAAACCGUGAAGAACCCUAGAAUUUGGGUGUUUCCAAUUCGACCUUCAAACUUGUUCCAACGCCUCAAUUACCUCUUGGGCUUUGUUCUAGGUCCUAAAGGAAUGCUAAAGGUGUUAGUAAUUGAAAGAAAACAUUUCAAAAUUUGGAGAAUUUAAACAAAAGGGUCGCGGCACCCGUAGGGGUGUUCUUCGCGAAAUCACAACGAAAUUCAAUGAUUCUUGGGGUGAAACGUAAAGAGGGAAGGCCUAGAUGAUGAUUAGGAGUGGUACCUUGACUCAAUUCGUUGGAAAUUUGGACGGAAAUGGCGAAAACCCGCCGAUUUGGAAGCUUGGGUCGCGCGGUCAAGGGUGACCCAUUCCUCCUGUUCCCCCGCGCACCACUCUCCCUCCUUUCCCUCCUUUCCGUCCCCUGAUUGGUCAGCUUCUUCCUCUCCCUUCUUCUGGUUUGCUCUCACCUUCUUCUUCUCCGAUUGGGCAUUUCUGCCCAGUCUCUUCUUCUUUUCUGUUUUUCUGUUUCUUCUUCUCAUACACAUACACACACCAAAAACCUUUCCCUCAUCCCAGCCAUCCAUUUCAUUCAUCAAUAAAUCUGGGCCGUCCAAUUUCAUAAAAGAAUUUCUAUAUUUUACUAAAAUUAUAAUUCCUUAAAAUUCCAAAUUUCAAACGUUAAUAACUUCUUCGAUAUAACUCCAAAUCACGAACCGUCUGCGCCCACACGUCCGUAACGACGAGUACUACGAGGAUAUGUCAAGAAAACAAAUCUUAGAUGGCACGACACAACGAUUAACCUCGAAUGAUGUGCGUGCCUCGAAGGGCAUUUUUGUAAAAUCCUUUAUUAAAACUUUAAAAAUUCUUAAAAUUAGGGACGGGCUGUCACAAUCUACCCACCUUACAGAAAUUUCGUCCUCGAAAUUUACACAAUCUUUACAAUCCAUCAAUAUCCAUGAAACAGCCCGAAACACAUCUCUCUCAUUCGAUUCUUUGACUUUCAAGUAGUUUCUUCCACUGAAAGAUUCCUCCAUAAAUUUUCACCAAACUCAGAGUCUUGAAUAUCAUCCGUCCCCAAUUCUAACAAUUUCGAAACACAAGACAUAGCUUUCCCACGGCCUUAUGGCGUUACUCUAGGGAACAAACUGAAGGAACCAACAUACCCAAGAAGUUUAAACAGAUCCCAAUCUCCUUUUUUCCAUAAAACAAAUAAAUAACUGUUGCGCUUAUCUGGAAAGGUUGAUGUUCUCAUACUGAAGUAACAUGCGCUGACGUCACAAGUUAAUCAAUUAUUAUUCAAACUCCAACCUAACUAUUUGGUAUACGAGGAAGCUUGUCCAUGAAAUCCAUAGUAAUAUUCUCCCAUUUCCGCCGUGGAAUGGGAAAUGACUACAUUAUUCCAAAAGACUUAUUUCUUUCUGCUUUAACCUGAUGACUGAUGAUACGCCUACUAACAUACUUCGCCAUUCCUCUUUUCAUACCCGUCAAUAGUACAUGAACGAAUGGUAUGAUAAAUCUUAGUACUUUUGGGAUGCAUUGUAGAAGUGGAAUAAUGUACAUCGUCAAAAUUGCUUUAUUUAAUUCCACACCAUUAGGCAUAAACACUUUGUUCCCUUGCAUAAGCUUGCCAUCUGAUUCUCUAACUCUAAGGUCCUUCUUUAUCCCGUUAUUCCUUGCUUUAAAUAAAUUCUUAAAUUUCUUCGUCAAACGCUUGAGUAUCGAGUACGAUCUACCAAAUGGGUCCAACUUAGAAAUUAGCAAGUAAGGCUUAUUCUCGAUUUUUGAUACUCAACUUUACUCCAGUAGAUUUCAAAUCCACAAGAAGAUGAACAUAGCAAGCAUACCAAGCAUUAAUUCUCACUGGGGUCUUCCUACUAAAUGCAUCAGCCACAACAUUAGCUUGACCACCCUCGUCACACAAUCAUAAUCACUAAGCAACUCAUUCCACCUUUGUUGCCUAAGAUUAAGAUACCUCUGAAUAAACAGAUAUUGGGUACUCUUUUGAUUUGUAACAAUCAUGCACUUUUCUUCCCAUAAAGACAAUGUCUCCAAAUUCUCAAAGCAAAGAUGAUAGCUGCUAAUUCCAAAUUAUAAUUAGGGUAAUUCAUCUUAUGAGAUCCCAAUGGCCAUGAAGCAUAGGCAAUCAUCCUACCAUGUUGCAUCAACGCGCAUUCAAGAACAUUCAAAGAAGUAUUACUAUAGACCACGUAAUUACCACUAUCGUUUGGGAGUGCGAAAACAGAUGCAUGAGUGAGGGAAUACUUUACUUGCUGAAGCUCUACUCACAAUUUUUCAUCCCACUCAAACUUAACCUCUUUUCUCAUCAAUCUCGCCAAGGGCGAAGCAAUAAUUAAAAUCUUGGACGAACUAUCGACAAUAUCCUGCUAAUCCGAGAAAACUCUGAACCUCAGUCACGGUUGGCAAUUGUUCCAAAUUCUCAAUCGUUGCUACUCUUUUAAGAAUCCACUUGAAUACCUUAAGUAGAUAUAAUUAAUUUAUCCAACAUUAGCAUUUGCUAAACUUAGCAUACAUCAACGUUCCUUCAAUCUUUGCAACACCAACUUUAAAUAUCUAGCAUGCACUGCUCUAAUCUUAUCAAUCUCGUCAAUGGCAACAACAACAAACCGAUCUAGAUAUCACUGGAAUACUUCCUUCAGUAAGCUCAUAAAAGUAGCAGGUGCAUUCGUCACUCCGUAUGGCAUCCCAACUUGAAAUGACCAUAACGAGUCCUGGAUUCAGUCUUAUGGACAUCCCCACUGUUAAUCUUCAACUAAUAUCAUUCAGACCUCAAGUCAGUCUCAGAAAGUACCCAGGCGCCUCAGAGCUGAUCAAAUAAUAAUUAAUACACAACAAUGGAUAACAGCUCUCAAUCGUUACCCGAUUCAAUUACCUAAUAUCAAUGCCUAGCCUUAAUGUCCACUUUCUUCCUCACAAAUAAACCGGAGCUUUUCCAAUGUGAUAUAAUAAGUUGAAUGGAACUUUUAACUAAACCUGAACCAAUUUCUAACAUAGGAUUUGUACCUAAAAACAAUUCAAUAAUGGAACCCACAUCUCUGCCUGGCGGCAAUCUAGGUAAGUCAUCUGGGAAUACACCAAGAAAAUGUCUAACCAUCUUUACAUCUUCCAUACUAUUAGGAUCAACAUCAUUUAGCACCAUAUGAACUCAAUAUCUUGGCAGCCUUUUGAUAACAAUCUUCUUUGCUCUCUCAACAGGAAUAAUGGCAUAACUCACUCCACUUUACUUACCCCCAAAAGUAACCUCUGGUCAUCUAGGUCAACAAAAAUUAACUGAUUCCCCAUAGCAAUCUAGCUUGACACAAUUAUACUGCACCCACUGGUGCCAAAAAAAUCACCUCAAAAUCCAUAAUAUCCAACGGAAUAAAAUUCACUGACAUGACAUUUUUCACCAUCACUGGACACCCUUAAUAAACCAAAUCAACAUAAAGUGCCUUACUUGUUUACUUACUUAACGAAUCCAACAAAUAAGUUAUAAAUAUUACGGUCUGCAGCCCGCAAUACAAAUAACUCACUGUUGUCUCGAUAACUAAGUAACAAUUCCUGAGGGGUGUAAUAUUAUCAUCUUGUUCUUCCUUAGAAAUACAUAAAUACGCCUCGAUCGUGCUCCAACAUUACUUUCUUUGGCAACAUCGACCAUAAUAAGAAAUAUAUCAGCCGGAGUCAGCUAGAAUGACCUGUACGACUGAGUCUACAACUCGACCAUCCAUGCUAGCACAUAAGUCGGAGUCACAUAUAGUGACCUGUACGACUUACUCGUCAAUAUUUCCAAGUGAUAUGUUAAGGAAGACUAUUGGGUAACAACUGAUUCCAGGGACAAUUCAUACCUCUAUGUCCCAUCCGUCCACAUGAACACAUUCACUGAUUCCCACACUCUCCAAAGUGUCUAAUAUUAUACCUAUGGCACAAAGGUACAUUUCCCUUACUCGAGUCACCUUGUCUUUAAGAUCUGGGAUCACCCGUAAAUCUAUCACUUCGCCUCGGACCAGUGGCACUAAAACCUCAGUUGGAAGAAUUAGUUCUAACUUCACUUCUUUUGAAGCUCUGAGUCUUUCGACGUCCUUGAUAUGACGGAUCUUUAACUUUCUCACCUUUCCUCUAAUUACCAUUCUUUUCUUAUUCUUCUUUACUCUCGCUGAUCAUAUUCUCAAAGUCCUCAAAGCCCAACAACAUCUCGUAAACUCCUGGUAAAAAGUACAAUGGAUUGUGGUCGCCAAAGAACGUCACUUCUUCUUAUUAUCCCGCCAAAAAACGACAUAACACCUCGACCGGAUUAGUAACAACAUCCGAAUGGAAACAAGGCAAGUCUGUAUUCAAAUUUAACUUAUAAUCAGUCUCAAAGGUUCCUUUAGAUAAUAGACUGAAUCAUAGUGACAAUAAUUUCCCCCAAACUACUAUAUCAGGGAAUUUAGGCUCAUCCGAACUACGUGGCUCGCUAUGAGGCGGUAUAUAGUUCUGACAGAAGACACUAGGAAAUUCUCAAGAUGUCCAGAAUUGCAACCUAGGCUCUGAUACCAACUGACACACCCGUCCCGACACCCGUCCCGAAGUGAGGGCGUGCUGGCCGUCACGUGAGAGUGACGUAACCAUUUACAUAGUUCAGAAGCUUUAAAAAAAAAUUUCCAAUUACUAAGAUGACACACCCGAGGGUGAGUCCUACUUUUGUGAAUUCUGUCAGAACACCGUUGGAUUCCUCGUGGCCACCAAAGCUCUGCUAACUUGAACCUGGAGGGGCGCAAAACAAAAUUGAGUGGGUCAGUAAAAACAAAGUUUUUUGAAAACUUUUCAUUUAAAAUAUUUCUAACCCCUCACCGUAAAACCUGUAUACUUUCCCAGAAAAUAGCAUAUAUAUAAACAUAUAUAUAAGCAAAAAUCUCAAAUCUCAAACCUUUAACACUUUUCAGAAAAAUAUAUAUAUAUAUAUAACCAUAUGAAAUCUCAAAACUUGAAUCCCAAAUCUUUAACAUUUUUCAAGAAAAACAUGCCAUGCCAUAAAUCAAAAUAUAAAUCAGGUGAAAUAAGGAAUCAAUCGGAGACCCUGCAGUUGGUCCUAUACGAUUAAUUCAAUAGCUCAAUAUCUCACUAAGCCGGAGUCACCACAGUGACCUAUACGGCCCUACUCUGCACAUCACUCGGAACUACGUAAGGUAGUCUGUACGAUGAAAGGUGUAAAAAUACGCUCUAGUGCUUCUCUCAUCAUAUCAUCAGCGCGCAUAACUAAGGUCACCCACUAGUCGGAAUCACGCCUAGUGAUCUGUACGACUAGCAUGUCGGAACCCUCACAUGGUCUGUACGACAUCCACCUACUUGGAUCCAAGGCGAGCGUGCGGUGUGGUGAAUAAAAUAAGCACUAACACCUAGGGUGCAGAUUAUGAGCUCAAAUUAUAUCAACAUCAACCAAUUCAAUGCAUAAAUGAACUCACCUGACUUACCUUUGCCUCCACAGCACCAUGCAAUAUGUAUGCAUCAUAUAUCAAUCAUAUAAUUCAUAAACCAAUCCAUGAUUUUCAAAUAAUUCUAUGCAUGGCAUGUUCAAAACAUAUUUUCAUAUAAAACAUUUUCUGGGAAAAACAGUAGUAUAUAGGUAAUACGAAAACAAAACUGCCCACUCACCUGGAGUUCGCUCAACAACUCCCUAGCACCACACAUCAAGGCGUCAUGAAGAUUAGCGCCUAGAACAAUAAUCAAACCCAACCUCAGAAAUCCUGCCGAUAGAAUACAUAACUUAUAUAAGACACGUCACUACGUAGUUCGAUCCGGAUGAUCUGCAAUUCAGAUUUCAAAUCCGAAACUUCCAGAGGUCCACAAUAUACCUCUAGGACAACAUCCUAAAAUUUCGUUACCAUCCAACGGUCGGAUCUCCGUCAAUUUCCAAAACUAAGUGACGGUUAACAUUCUAUUUU